RNAcentral lists this transfer RNA (100 nucleotides) under Echinostoma caproni. It matches the Rfam family "tRNA". Rfam says of the family: Transfer RNA (tRNA) molecules are approximately 80 nucleotides in length. Their secondary structure includes four short double-helical elements and three loops (D, anti-codon, and T loops). Further hydrogen bonds mediate the characteristic L-shaped molecular structure. tRNAs have two regions of fundamental functional importance: the anti-codon, which is responsible for specific mRNA codon recognition, and the 3' end, to which the tRNAs corresponding amino acid is attached (by aminoacyl-tRNA synthetases). tRNAs cope with the degeneracy of the genetic code in two manners: having more than one tRNA (with a specific anti-codon) for a particular amino acid; and 'wobble' base-pairing, i.e. permitting non-standard base-pairing at the 3rd anti-codon position. Lineage: Eukaryota; Metazoa; Platyhelminthes; Trematoda; Plagiorchiida; Echinostomatidae. The record is from Rfam by way of RNAcentral.
GGCCUCGUCGCUCAGCUGAUACAGCGUGCGCAUGAAAAGCGUAGNCGCAUAAAAAGCGUAGGGGGGGUUCCAUGCGUGGGUUCGAAUCCCACCGAGGCUA